This 434-nucleotide ribosomal RNA is filed under the name Novafroneta sp. GH40. Its description in RNAcentral is "partial 16S ribosomal RNA". It matches the Rfam family "Bacterial large subunit ribosomal RNA", at positions 1831 to 2600 of the family's 2925-position model. Lineage: Eukaryota; Metazoa; Arthropoda; Arachnida; Araneae; Linyphiidae. The record is from RNAcentral.
UUCUUAUACCUCUCAUUAUAAGUAAAAUCUGCUCCAUGUUUAAUAAAUAGCCGCAGAUAUUUCUGUGCUAAGGUAGCAUAAUCAUUAGUCUUCUAAUUAAAGACUAGAAUGAAAGAUUCAACACUUAAUUUAUUUUUUUAUUAAACUUAUAAAAUUUAACUAAACAUAAAAAUGUGUUUAUAAAAUAAAAAGACGAUAAGACCCUAUUGAACUUUACUAAAGUUAAGCUGGGGAAGCUAUUUAAAUAUAAUUUUAAUAUCCUUUUAUAAAAAAAAAGCCAAUAAAAUUGAUAAGCAAGUUACCAUAGGGAUAACAGCGUAAUAUUUUUUAAAAGUUCUUAUUUAAAAAGGGGGUUACGACCUCGAUGUUGAAUAAUAAAACUUUAAGACGUAAUAAGCUUAAAAGUAGGUCUGUUCGACCUUUAAAUAAUUACA